AUUGAACGCUGGCGGCAUGCCUUACACAUGCAAGUCGAACGGCAGCGCGGGGCAACCUGGCGGCGAGUGGCGAACGGGUGAGUAAAAUAUCGGAACAUACCCUAGAGUGGGGGGAUAACGUAGCGAAAGUUACGCUAAUACCGCAUACGCACUAAGGUGGAAAGUGGGGGAUCUUCGGACCUCAUGCUCAUGGAGUGGCCGAUAUCUGAUUAGCUAGUUGGUGAGGUAAAGGCUCACCAAGGCGACGAUCAGUAGCUGGUUUGAGAGAACGACCAGCCACACUGGAACUGAGACACGGUCCAGACUCCUACGGGAGGCAGCAGUGGGGAAUUUUGGACAAUGGGGGCAACCCUGAUCCAGCAAUGCCGCGUGAGUGAAGAAGGC
RNAcentral lists this ribosomal RNA (384 nucleotides) under uncultured bacterium. RNAcentral describes it as "bacterial SSU rRNA". It matches the Rfam family "Bacterial small subunit ribosomal RNA", at positions 30 to 415 of the family's 1533-position model. The record is from RNAcentral.